Molecule: transfer RNA, 69 nt
Filed under: Bactrocera ritsemai
Lineage: Eukaryota; Metazoa; Arthropoda; Insecta; Diptera; Tephritidae
Also listed under: 1 other name
Description: tRNA-Trp
Rfam family: tRNA
About the family: Transfer RNA (tRNA) molecules are approximately 80 nucleotides in length. Their secondary structure includes four short double-helical elements and three loops (D, anti-codon, and T loops). Further hydrogen bonds mediate the characteristic L-shaped molecular structure. tRNAs have two regions of fundamental functional importance: the anti-codon, which is responsible for specific mRNA codon recognition, and the 3' end, to which the tRNAs corresponding amino acid is attached (by aminoacyl-tRNA synthetases). tRNAs cope with the degeneracy of the genetic code in two manners: having more than one tRNA (with a specific anti-codon) for a particular amino acid; and 'wobble' base-pairing, i.e. permitting non-standard base-pairing at the 3rd anti-codon position.
Source: RNAcentral
AAGGCUUUAAGUUAAUUAAACUGAUAGCCUUCAAAGCUAUAAACAUAAGUAUAAAUCUUUUAAGCCUUA